GCCCAACACGGUGCCGCCUCCCUCCCGCACCCCGGCCUUCUCUGCCUCCCACUCACUCGACGCCUCCGCCGCCGCCGCCGCCGGGAUGAAGAACCCCGACUUCACUGCAGACAAAGCGCUCGCCAAGGACUUCCUGUCCAACUUCGUCGGCCCUCACGGCGACCCCAAGUACCUGAACAUCCUGCAAGAUGUCGCCAACAGGAAGAUACGCGCGGUCCAGAUCGAGCUGGACGACCUGUUUCAUCACAAGGACGUCGAUGAGGAGUUCCUGCAGCGUGUCACUGAGAACACGCGGCGCUACGUCGGCAUCUUCGCGGAGGCCAUGGACGAGAUCAUGCCGGAGCCCACUGAGGCGUACACCGUCGACGAGGACCGGGACAUCCUGAUGACGCAGCGUGUGGACGAGGGGGUGGACGGCGGCGCGGACGGCACGGACCCGCUGCAGAGAAUGCCACCAGAUAUCAAACGGUUCUUUGAGGUUUACAUCAAGACAUUCUCAAAGGCAACUCCACUCACCAUUAGACAAGUAAAGGCAUCCAACAUUGGGCAGCUUGUGAAAAUAUCUGGGAUUGUUACUCGCUGCUCGGAUGUGAAGCCCUUGAUGCAGGUUGCUGUUUAUACAUGUGAAGAAUGUGGCUUUGAGAUAUACCAGGAAGUGACUGCUAGAGUGUUUAUGCCCCUCAUUGAAUGUCCAUCUCAACGAUGCAAGCUGAACAAAGCAAAGGGGAAUCUAAUCCUUCAAUUGCGUGCAUCGAAGUUUUUGAAAUUUCAGGAGGUGAAGCUUCAAGAGUUAGCAGAGCAUGUACCCAAGGGCCACAUUCCUCGUUCUCUGACUGUUCAUCUAAGAGGAGAGCUGACUAGAAAGGUUGCACCUGGAGAUGUGGUUGAGAUGUCAGGAAUUUUUCUCCCUAUGCCUUACUAUGGGUUUAGAGCAAUGCGUGCAGGAUUAGUUGCUGAUACUUACUUGGAAGCAAUGUCUGUCACACAUUUCAAGAAAAAAUAUGAGGAGUAUGAUCUCAAAGGUGAUGAACAAGAACAAAUUGACAGAUUGGCUGAGGACGGUGAUAUCUACAGUAAGUUGGCAAGGUCCUUGGCACCUGAAAUAUUUGGCCAUGAAGACGUCAAAAAAGCACUGCUGUUACUACUUGUUGGUGCACCCCAUAGGAAGCUCGCAGAUGGCAUGAAGAUCAGAGGCGACCUGCAUAUAUGCAUGAUGGGAGAUCCUGGUGUUGCAAAGAGUCAACUUCUGAAGCAUAUUAUCAAUGUUGCACCAAGAGGAGUGUACACCACUGGACGUGGGAGCAGUGGUGUUGGUCUUACCGCUGCCGUCCAAAAGGAUCCAGUAACAAAUGAGUUUGUCCUCGAGGGUGGAGCACUGGUACUGGCAGAUAUGGGCAUUUGUGCUAUAGAUGAGUUUGACAAGAUGGAAGAGUCAGACCGGACAGCAAUCCAUGAGGUAAUGGAGCAGCAAACAGUUAGCAUUGCCAAGGCUGGCAUCACCACCUCUCUCAAUGCGAGAACUGCAAUUCUGGCUGCUGCAAAUCCAGCAUGGGGAAGGUACGACAUGAGGAGGACUCCAGCAGAAAAUAUAAAUCUACCUCCGGCACUCCUGUCCCGUUUCGACCUGCUUUGGUUGAUCCUGGAUCGCGCGGACAUGGAAACCGAUCUCGAAAUGGCGAGGCACAUUGUUCAUGUUCAUCAAAACCUUGAAUCGCCGGCGCUGGGGUUCACACCACUCGAGCCAUCUGUGCUCAGGGCAUACAUAUCUGCAGCUAGAAGAGUGAUUCCUUCCGUUCCUAGAGAGCUCGAGGAAUACAUUGCGACUGCAUAUUCCAGCAUCCGCCAAGAGGAGGCGAAGUCGAACGCGCCAACCUCCUACACAACCAUCAGGACGCUUCUGAGCAUACUCCGUAUCUCUAUCGCCUUGGCAAGGCUUAGGUUCUCAGAAACCGUGGCCCAGAGCGACGUCGACGAAGCACUGCGGCUGAUGCAGAUGUCCAAGUACUCGUUGUACUCGGACGACCGCCAGCGGUCUGGCCUCGAUGCGAUAUCUGACAUAUAUUCCAUCCUGAGAGACGAGGCCGCGAGGACGAGCAGCAUGGACGUGAGAUAUGCUCAUGCUCUUAACUUGAUCUCCAGAAAGGGAUACAGCGAGGCUCAAUUGAAGGAGUGCUUGGAGGAAUACGCUUCCCUGAAUGUGUGGCAGAUCCAUCCGAGCACCUUUGACAUCCACUUCAUCGAUGCCUGAUGCUGAAGCCGGCACCGAUCACCAAACAAAUUUCAUCAUGAGUUUGUGGCUUCAUGAUUUGUGACGGGAGGGAUGAACACCGUCGACUGAAGCCUAACAGGAUCCAAAACGAACAAGCCCUUCAUGAUGUCGAUGAUGUAAUGCUAUCACAGGCACAGCUGUACUAGUAGAACCAUUCUUCUCUGACUUAUUAUGAGUAGCAAUCUCCUUGUGUGACACUAAUGUAGAUGUACCCUACUGUGUUUCCUUUAUUGCAGCUGAUAUAAGAGAUGUGUAUUCUUUUGGCUACCAAGGACAUUGAA
Molecule: RNA transcript, 2550 nt
Organism: Zea mays
Lineage: Eukaryota; Viridiplantae; Streptophyta; Magnoliopsida; Poales; Poaceae
Exons: 16
Source: RefSeq, marked validated